GGCAAACAUAGAAAUUGAAUCAGAUCGCUCGAUCUCAUCUCCAUCAUGUGCUGUGACCUGUCUAAUCUGAGACCUACUCGGGAUAGCCUCCUGCAGUAAUAGAAACUUCAUCCUACGACAUCGUCUAUUAUCCUUUUGAGUCUCCCGUCUCAUACCUAAUCUAUCUGUACCUAGAGUUUUACCUCGCGCUGAGCUCCCAUUGGCACCUGAAGCUCUACCUCGCACUGAGCUCCCUACCAAGAGGUGGUGUUCUUUACACUUCUUUUCCUUCAUAACAAUCCUACUGUCAUGCAUAACCUUUAGGAUUCC
Molecule: long non-coding RNA, 309 nt
Filed under: Elaeis guineensis (African oil palm)
Lineage: Eukaryota; Viridiplantae; Streptophyta; Magnoliopsida; Arecales; Arecaceae
Description: long non-coding RNA (EGUI_LNC077711)
Source: RNAcentral